RNAcentral lists this ribosomal RNA (254 nucleotides) under uncultured bacterium. RNAcentral describes it as "partial 16S ribosomal RNA". It matches the Rfam family "Bacterial small subunit ribosomal RNA", at positions 524 to 776 of the family's 1533-position model. The record is from RNAcentral.
UACGUAGGCAGCGAGCGUUGUUCGGAGUUACUGGGCGUAAAGGGUGUGUAGGCGGUUCUUUAAGUUUGGUGUGAAAUCUCCCGGCUCAACCGGGAGGGUGCGCCGAAUACUGAGGGACUUCGAGUGCGGGAGAGGAAAGUGGAAUUCCUGGUGUAGCGGUGAAAUGCGUAGAUAUCAGGAGGAACACCGGUGGUGUAGACGGCUUUCUGGACCGUAACUGACGCUGAGACACGAAAGCGUGGGGAGCGAACAGG